GGCAGUUUUGUUUGAAUCAUUUUCCAUAUCUUUCAUUUUUAUAAAUUCAACUGUCUUUUGUUCCUUCCUAUCACAUUGUUUUUCUAGCAUGGAAUGCUGAUUGUGAUAUAUGAUUAUAUUUCCAAUCUGUUGUCCGUUUUGUUGGUGUGUUGACUUUGCAACUAUCUCCUUUCUAUAUUGGGUAACAUCAGUUGAAAUAGAUUGCAGUUGACCUUUUUAUACUUUUAUA
Molecule: unclassified non-coding RNA, 229 nt
Filed under: Hevea brasiliensis (rubber tree)
Lineage: Eukaryota; Viridiplantae; Streptophyta; Magnoliopsida; Malpighiales; Euphorbiaceae
Source: RNAcentral